Pimephales promelas (fathead minnow) is the source of this 974-nucleotide long non-coding RNA. RefSeq lists it as uncharacterized. The record is from RefSeq and is a predicted model, not a curated record. Lineage: Eukaryota; Metazoa; Chordata; Actinopteri; Cypriniformes; Leuciscidae.
CCUCCAGUUUUCACUUUGUUUUGCCUCCAGCUAGCGCCGUGACGUAACUGUGACGUCGGCGCAAAAGGGGUAAAGGCGGAAAACAGACGGAACAAGAGUAUUUAAUUGCUCUAGUCUAGAAAGAAACGAUGGUGUCAUCAUUAAGGAAUUAUACGGUCAUUAUAAUUUAAAUUAACCGACAGUAGUUUGUGUUUUAUUUUUUAUUCCUGACUGGAGAACAAACUUGUUUUGAGUCGCGCGCAGACUCAAAAAGUGGCGCGAGCAGCUCGCGGAAAGGUGAAGCCGUGUUUAUGUGGACGACGACAAUUACUGAAUAUGAAGCCUUCAAAUGAUGAUAAACAGCUCAUAUCUCCAUCUCGGAUUUCACGUUACAAAGAGCCGAACAGUUCUCACCACAUCAGCACACACUGGUGGCACAUUUUCCUUCUGCUUCCCACUGUGACUCCGGACUUCAUUGUCUGCUGGUUCACUCUACCAGGAACACAAAAAGGUUAAAGGAGAGAAGUUUGGCUUUGAUGAGAGCAGAGAGCUCGAAGCCUGUAGCGAUCAUGUGGAUGUUCAUCUCAUGACAUCAGCCCCCCAGUGAGAACAGCAGACUUUACAUGAGAGCGACCUCAUCCCAGUCUAGUGAUGGAAAUGUCUUUUGAGAGGUAGAGGAGUUUGGGUUUAACCCAAACAUGAACUAUGUGGCUUUGCAUGAGGGAAAAAAUAAUAAGUCAAUUAAUUUGAGAACUGCUGCAACCAGAUCAUUGAGUCUUUUAACACAUUUAUUUUCCAUGAACUGGCUGAUCGGACGAAACAAUUCAAUGAGUCACAAGCAGUGUUGGGUAAUGCAUUACUAGGUCAUUAAUUACUGUAAUUUAAUUAGGGAUUACUCUUAAUUUUACUGUAAUUUAAUUUACUUCUGAUGUAAUUGCAUUAAAUACUGUAUCGGCUAUAGAGAAUCAUUCUAAAUAAACCAUUUUAACAUCUAA